RNAcentral lists this long non-coding RNA (1457 nucleotides) under Sus scrofa (pig). RNAcentral describes it as "lncRNA (ENSSSCG00005024758.1)". Lineage: Eukaryota; Metazoa; Chordata; Mammalia; Artiodactyla; Suidae. The record is from RNAcentral.
UGUUAACUCACAAAACAUUCUUUUCAAUGACACCAUUUCUUUAAGAAGGAGUUUUAGCCAUUAUUAUGAUAAAAAGCAAGUACCGUGUAAAAAUCAAUGUGGAACAGGAAAUAGGAGAAUGUCAGAUUCAAUCCUAAGGCUUGAGAAUUUGUGCAGUAUCGAACAGGUACAUGUAUGGAAAUUAAAAUGUUCUCUUUCCAAAAACGUAUCAAUUUUUCAAAUAACUAAAUUGUUAGGAAAUAAAUACUUCAGUUGUUUGCCCCUAACUACUUAAUAAAUGGAACUGUUAGCUAUUUCUUUUGACCUAUAGGCACCAUGGAAAAUUAUUACUGAGACACUAAGGAGAAGAGACUUUGGACUAUGCAGCCAUGAACCAGGAGAAACCUGAGAGAAUCACACGAAUGCCCAGAGAGAUGCAAAGCUAGAAUACUUGAGACACUGCCCCAACCCACUUCCAGUCCUCAAGUCCCCAAGCUUCCUGCCACAGUUCUUAACUUAGGUUAGCCCUCCAGUAUCAUGCCAAUAAAGCCACCUUAUCUUGUUGGUUUAUUUAAGCUCUGAUUCAGUUUUUAUCACCAAUAACCUAGAGUCCUGAGUAACAAAUAUCAGAUGAUUCAAACAUUCAGCCUGGUUUCCUUUGUGAAAUCGUAACUGAAUAUUGUAUAUCAAGGUUUUGUUGUCUUUUAUUUUUUGUCUUUAUAGGGGUGCACCUGAGGCAUAUGGAGCCCAAGAAAUAGCAAAAAGACAAAAAAAAAAAAAAAAUUUCUUAAGUAAUCAAAGUCCAUUAUACUCGAAAAUUACAGCUUUAAAAAAAAGAAAAUUACAGCUUCAAAGAAAAGUAAAACAUUCAUUUUUAUAAAUAUUAAAAGUAUUUUCUCAAUACUUAAACUUCCAGAAAUAAAUUAGAGUUUAUAUUUACUUCCUAGAAAGUUUUUUUUUUUUACUAUAAAUCAAAGACAGCAGUGAUUUUGGCAAUGAGGACAAUUUUCAGUUCAUUCACUGUACUUAAUGAUUGAAAUAAAAAUCUAUUUAACAAAUAACAAAGAUAAAUAUUUUCAAAAAUAAAGAUAAAAGUAAACACUUCUGGGAGAAAAACUUUAUCAGAACCAUAUCAAUUAAAAAUGGCAAUUACAGCUAAUUUUUAUGUUCUGUGACAAGGAGAUCAUGUAGACCUAUCGCAAAUAAAGUUUUAUCAGAAAGAAAAAUAACUAAUCAGCUGGCUACCAUUCAGUAGCUUUUUUUGGGUACCCCCCCUCGGCUUUUUAGGGCUCCACACCCGGCAUAUGGAGGUUCCCAGGCUAGCACGGAGUCGAAUCAGAGCUACAGCUGCCAGCCCACACCACAGCCACAGCAAUGUCAGAUCCGAGCCAUGUCUGUGACCUACACCACAGCUCAGGGCAAUGCCAGAUCCUUAACCCACUGAGAGGGGACAGGGAUCGAACCCACAACCUCAUGGU